RNAcentral lists this ribosomal RNA (467 nucleotides) under uncultured bacterium. RNAcentral describes it as "partial 16S ribosomal RNA". It matches the Rfam family "Bacterial small subunit ribosomal RNA", at positions 28 to 507 of the family's 1533-position model. The record is from RNAcentral.
GACGAACGCUGGCGGCGUGCUUAACACAUGCAAGUCGAACGGAAAGGCCCUGCUUUUGUGGGGUGCUCGAGUGGCGAACGGGUGAGUAACACGUGAGUAACCUGCCCUUGACUUUGGGAUAACUUCAGGAAACUGGGGCUAAUACCGGAUAGGAGCUCCUGCUGCAUGGUGGGGUUGGAAAGUUUCGGCGGUUGGGGAUGGACUCGCGGCGUAUCAGCUUGUUGGUGGGGUAGUGGCUUACCAAGGCUUUGACGGGUAGCCGGCCUGAGAGGGUGACCGGCCACAUUGGGACUGAGAUACGGCCCAGACUCCUACGGGAGGCAGCAGUGGGGAAUAUUGCACAAUGGGCGGAAGCCUGAUGCAGCAACGCCGCGUGCGGGAUGACGGCCUUCGGGUUGUAAACCGCUUUCGCCGGUGACGAAGCGUGAGUGACGGUAAUGGGUAAAGAAGCACCGGCUAACUACGUG